GAUGAACGCUGGCGGCGUGCUUAACACAUGCAAGUCGAACGAAACACUUUAUUUGAUUUCUUCGGAAUGAAUAUUUUGUGACUGAGGGGCGGACGGGUGAGUAACGCGGGGGUAACCUGCCUCAUACAGGGGGAUAACAGUUGGAAACGACUGCUAAUACCGCAUAACCGCACAAGGUCGCAUGACCUGUGGUGAAAAACUCCGGUGGAAUGAAAGGGACCCGCGUCUGAUUACCCGGUUGGUGGGGUAACGGCCUACCAAAGCAACAAUCAGUACCCGACCUGAGAGGGGGACCGGCCACAUUGGGACUGAGACACGGCCCAAACUCCUACGGAAGGCACCAGGGGGAAAUAUUGCACAAGGGGGGAAACCCUGAUGCAGCGCCGCCGCGGGAGAGAAGAAAUUAUUUCGGUAUGUAACGCUCUACCAGCACAGAAGAAGAAAUGACGGUACCUGACUAAGAAGCACCGGCUAAAUACGUGCCAGCAGCCGCGGUAAUACGUAUGGUGCAAGCGUUAUCCGGAUUUACUGGGUGUAAAGGGAGCGCAGGCGGUACGGCAAGUCUGAUGUGAAAGCCCGGGGCUCAACCCCGGUACUGCAUUGGAAACUGUCGGACUAGAGUGUCGGAGGGGUAAGUGGAAUUCCUAGUGUAGCGGUGAAAUGCGUAGAUAUUAGGAGGAACACCAGUGGCGAAGGCGGCUUACUGGACGAUUACUGACGCUGAGGCUCGAAAGCGUGGGGAGCAAACAGGAGUAGAUACCCUGGUAGUCCACGCCGUAAACGA
This 784-nucleotide ribosomal RNA is filed under the name uncultured bacterium. RNAcentral describes it as "bacterial SSU rRNA". It matches the Rfam family "Bacterial small subunit ribosomal RNA", at positions 28 to 809 of the family's 1533-position model. The record is from RNAcentral.